This 78-nucleotide transfer RNA is filed under the name Promethearchaeota archaeon. RNAcentral describes it as "tRNA-Gln". It matches the Rfam family "tRNA". Rfam says of the family: Transfer RNA (tRNA) molecules are approximately 80 nucleotides in length. RNAcentral also lists the same sequence under 1 other name. The record is from RNAcentral. Lineage: Archaea; Promethearchaeati; Promethearchaeota.
AGCCCGGUAGUGUAGUAUGGUCAAUCAUCCGAGGCUCUGGACCUUGGGACCGCGGUUCGAAUCCGCGCCGGGCUACCA